This 109-nucleotide non-coding RNA is filed under the name Bacteroidota bacterium. Its description in RNAcentral is "Bacteriodetes bacterium TPP sequence". It matches the Rfam family "TPP riboswitch aptamer (THI element)". Rfam says of the family: Vitamin B(1) in its active form thiamin pyrophosphate (TPP) is an essential coenzyme that is synthesised by coupling of pyrimidine and thiazole moieties in bacteria. The previously detected thiamin-regulatory element, thi box was extended, resulting in a new, highly conserved RNA secondary structure, the THI element, which is widely distributed in eubacteria and also occurs in some archaea. The record is from RNAcentral. Lineage: Bacteria; Pseudomonadati; Bacteroidota.
CCAGAUUCCUCGGGGUGUCACCCCCGACCUUGUCGGGGAGCUGGCUGAGAUCAAACCCGUAGAACCUGAACAGGGUAAUGCCUGCGCAGGGAAGGUUAUCUAAACUUUC